Molecule: non-coding RNA, 3303 nt
Organism: Cyanistes caeruleus (blue tit)
Lineage: Eukaryota; Metazoa; Chordata; Aves; Passeriformes; Paridae
Source: RefSeq, a predicted model, not a curated record
GACCAUAUAAUAAUAUUCCCCAGAGAUCCAGUAAUUCUGUAAAAUCUUUAUUCUGUUGUCAAAUUAUUAGUCUAGGCUUUCAAACUGCUGGAUUCAUUUAUCUGGCUUUAUGUGAUACAAAAGUUCAGGAUAAAUGAUCCUGAUAUAGCCCUUUCUGAGCUUAAAAAAAAAGAAAAUCUGAAAAAGGGAAAAAUAACAAGUUUGGUAAAACAGAUUAGUUACUCACAUGAAAAUCAUUGUACUGUCUGUAACACUGUGUUACUCUGAAAGUCAGGUCCCUAACCCCGAACCUGAAAAAGUCACUUCAGUUUCUCUCUGCUGGCCAAGUUAACUGCAAGCAUUUCCUGACGCUGAGAAUGCAGGCAGAAAAAGGAAAAACGUCGACUUGAGAAAAGCACAGCUUCCAAUCCCCACCCACCAGCUUCAGUCAAAGGGAUGACUUCAGUCCCUUUCUUAACUAAUCCUGUCACUGUAAAAUCCUACAGUCAUUCUUCCAACAUAAAGGGAAAACGGACUCACUAGGAGGACCUAGACUCUUUCAGCUUGAACUGUUAACCAAUGGUGGAAAUGCAAGAAUGCUGAAGUUGUGCCUUCAGAGCCAAUAGAGUGGAUUUGUGUGUCCCACAUGACUGUGUUUCCCCUGUCUUUCACAUGGGCAGUAUUUAGUUCAAUUCAGAACUGCAGAUAGUAUAGCGUGCAGAGCAGCAAUGGGAUGUCUGAGCACAAGUGGCUGACUUCCAGGCGACUUCAGGAAGCACAUUUAUACAUUUCUCCUGAAUUAAACUGGGAUUCUGCACCCUUGACAUUCUCCAACCCUCCUUGUCGAUGCAGAAGGAGACAACGACCUGCACAGCACAACAAAACUACAAAUCACCACAGAGCUGCAGACCAGCAACGAAGGGAGCUGAGGGCAAUUUGACCAACAUCAUCUGUGUCGGUUCCCCAGAUGUCAAUGAAACACGUAAUCGGGUCUCCAAGACCACAAGCCUCAGAAGAUCACUGUGGAAGAAACACACUGGGCCAACCCAUCCUGUUGAUAUGACACAAAGUGCAGCCCAGUUUGGUAUUCUUUAAACUCUGAAGGAGUCUCACACCAGGAUUUGCUCUGAUGCCUCCUGAGAGGAGCAGAAAGCAGAGGGAAAGGGACCUGUACACACUGUCAGCCUGCUGUGCAAGACACGCUAAAAUGAUGCCAGCGAGGCACUUCUGCAGAGGGGGUCUCAGCUCCAGCCUGGCCGAAGCAACAGAGAAGUUGUCUGGGAGAUAUUCUGUGGCCAGUGACUUUAGGCUCCUCCCUGGUGAGAUAAACACUGAAUGGGCUGUUAUGAGAAUUCAGAUUUUGUAUUUUAGUAAUGUGUGCUAAUUAAGCACGUUAACCUAGCUGUGGAACACAUUUAACAGAAAUACAGUAGCUUGAUCAGUCUUACACUAGGCGAAUUUUGUUAUGAUUGUUUUAAAUGCCUACUGCAUUUAUCUGCAUAUUUGAAGUGUGAUGGAAAAAUUAAUUCUAUUUCUUCUUAUACAAACAAUUUACUCUGAGCAUUUUUAGGAAGGUGCCUGGAUUCUACAGAAACUGGAAAUGCCAUGAAGAUACAUACGCAAUUAUGAAUUAAUUUGUUUUCAUGUUCACCAUCAGCACUGCUUUUUCAAAGUUUAAUUUUAAUAUUACACUAUUUUAAUUCUCAGCAUGGCAAGUGUGCACAAACAUCAUCUGACUGGUGGAUGCUGGGGGUAGCUGAACUGCUUUAUAGGAACUCUGCUGGGGAGUGUUCUGCGCACAUGCAAGGCUGUGUGAUAUCGGUACUUAGACUUGACUGCAAGCAAACCAGUUUCUUAAAACAGAGAAAUUUCUAAAUUCACAGAGCAAAAGGUCUGGCAAGUGAAGAACUAAAUGACAAAUACCAUAUCAGCUAAGCACAGAAGCAUUCCAUGUAAUAGAAGAUACCCACACUUUGAGACCAGAGACCAAUUUAACUCCUUAACCAUGCAGGAUGGCUAAACAUUUGUUACAUAACAGCAACUUCACAUGGCAUUUUUACAUCCUGCCAUCUUUUCACUGAAGAACAGAAGAUUAGACUUCUACCGACUCUGAGAGACGGGGAGUGGAGCCAGCAGCAAUAUUUAGCACAGAGUGACUGAUUUCUGGCACCAUCUAGCUUCUCUACAAGAGGAAUCUGGCAGCCUGCACAGUUAAGAGUGGACCUAGCAGAAAUCUGACAAGCUGAGCUUCAAGAACACCUUCUGCAUAAGAAUUCUGCUCACAAAUGAAAAUAAGAAAGAAGUCUGGGAAACUACCAGCUCCUUGCAGAAAGACUGAAACAUGAUGGGCAGAGAAGGGUGUUGGUGUCGACAUUUGAGGAUGCAGUCAAGUCAAUGGAGUUCUGUUGUAGUGGUUGCUUCAGUGAACAUUCAACGCUGUCGGUGAGUUUGGAAUUAAAGUGAAAACCAUCGACCGUUGAUUGUACCCUCCAGCUAACCAUCCUCCUCCUUACUUCAUGCUUUCAGGCCUUAACACCGAAGAUAGCAACCUAACCAUCAUAUGAUGUUUCUCCCUCACCCUGCCAAGCUUUACAAAAAGGUCACAAUCAACAUUCAUUGCUGUCGGUGGGUUUAACUAUGUGGACAAGCUCACUGAACAAUGAAUGCAACUGUGGCCUCACAUUGUACAGUUGCCGUUGAGAGGAGUAGCAGCUCUGAAGGCAAUAGUGAGAAGCAAACACUUCUUUUAAGCUACAGUUUUCUGCUCAGAAAAAUAGUUGGGGGUGUCCAGUUUUUGCUUGUUUGGUUUUGAGUGCAUUUAACUUAGCUGACUGGAAAAGAAAACCCACUGUGUUUUUCUUGGGUAUUGUCCUCACCAGGUCCAGUGCCACUGAAAAUGUGAAAGUUCUUAUUUAGUAUGUGUGCAGAAAAAAUAACAGGACAGGACACUCAGUAUAUCCACUCCUAAGGCCUCUAACAUAAGAGAAAAGAAUAUUUAGUUGUCAUUUAACUGGGCAUUGUUGAAGAGUUCAAAAGUUUAUUCUAUACUUGUCAUGACAUAUACAGCUGGGAACAAAUGGGAUUUAAGAGUUACGGAUAAAAACGUUAUGUCAAAAAAUAUUAAUUAAUUUUACAUGAAACUGAUUUUAAGAACACAAAUACUAUUGCAUUUGCUAUUUUUGGGGAUCUGAAAGAUGGCAGAGAAAUGUAUAUCCAGAAAUAAUAAUGGAAAAGAGUUAAAUUGUAAAGUUGUUGAAUUGUAAACCGAGUACCUAUGUCACGCUCUGAGUUUUGCAAUAAGAAAAUAAAAUGUAAAUAAGCUCA